CGGGAGUAGGGCUAAUCCUGGUCGAGCAUCAGGAUAGCCGGCCAAAAGGAGCUCAUCGGUUCCAGUCGAGGUAGUCCUUGCCUUCCUAGGUCAAGUUCGUGCAUCGGAGAAUAUACUGCCUCAUUAAUCUUCACCAUCUACCCCCCCCCCCCAAACUGAUAGGGGGACCUCAUCAAUUGCCCGUCGAGCUAGAGUCGCAAGCUCAGAACC
This 210-nucleotide long non-coding RNA is filed under the name Elaeis guineensis (African oil palm). Its description in RNAcentral is "long non-coding RNA (EGUI_LNC012530)". Lineage: Eukaryota; Viridiplantae; Streptophyta; Magnoliopsida; Arecales; Arecaceae. The record is from RNAcentral.